AACUGGGAAUUUCAUCCCUCUUGGGUGUGUGUGUUUUAGCGUGUUUUGCGCGCGUGCGCACGUGUAAGGUGAAUCCACACUAGGUCAGCAGCAGUCAUCCUCGUCAGUUUCGCUAUAAGGUUCGUGUAGUGCUUUGCGUGAUCCUGUCCCACGCGACUUGGCUGGUCCAUGCGAGUGAUAGUAUCCAUUGGGUAGCCGCCGCCCGUGCCUGGAGGGGGAAAGAGAGGACGAGCCGCCGCCCACCCGGGAAGUUCUGGGCGAACGUCCUGAGCUGCUCCCGUGCUGCAUUGUCUCGUAGGAGAAGGCUUCCUCACCUGCUGGGCCGGCGUAGUCCGGACUCCGAUAGUAGCCACUGCCGUGACGAGGUCCCGGGUGCGGCUCGGAGACGUGGGGGGCCGACCACCGGCUGCUGGCGUGUCGAAACUAUUUUUGAUGUGCUGCACAUACAGAUUCUCCAGACAGAACAUGAUCCUUGCAAUUACCCCAUGACAGGAGAAUGUCCCAGGUUCAACCAGUGGCAUCUCCAGGUAAAAGGAAUAGGUGGCAGGUGAUGGAAAAGACCUCUGGCUCCGACUCUGGAAAGCCAUUUCCAGUCACAGUAGAUAACACUGGACUCCAGUCGACUCCAACUGAUGGCGACCCUAUGAAUAGGGUUUUCAUGUACUUGGCUGGAGAACCGCACUGCAAAUUUGGAUAAAUGCGAAUUUCAAAGAAUGGCUGUGUUUCGGUUUGCAUAUUGUUUCGGAAAGUGCAGAUCAGGUCGUUUUUCCUUUAAAUGCAGACUGAAUUGAAUUUCUCAUCCAUCCCCAGUUACAGGAAGUUACACCAUUAUGGAGGCAGAAGCAUUGUAAAGGCAUGGGUGUCUGUUUUAAGUUAUUCAAAGAGGUCAAAAGAACCAUUAGAAUAACUAUAAAAAUGUUUAAAAGAUUCUUUUAUGAGCAGCCAGAAAGGCAUGAGCGAGCAACCCAGACUGCAGAAUCAGCUGCAACCCAUAGGCAGAUUGGCGGAUGGAACCGAAUACUUGACCCUGACAACUCUUGCUCUUACGCAGAAAGAACUCUACCUGGCCAUGUGUCCUGUUGCUGGCCUGUGUAUAUGUAACCGAUAAUGAGUAUAUACCUGUACUUCUAAGCUGUAGUUAACUGGCUGCUGUACUGAAGGUGAAUAUUGUCUGCCUAGCAUUAAAGUCAGAACUAAAAAAACAGGCUUUUAAACCAACACAAAAUGCUAUGCAGAUCUACAUCAUAAAUGCCCAAGUCUACUAGUUUCACUUCAUUUCCAGAUGGAUAAUUUCUCAAGUGUCAAGCACACUAGCACGUGCAAGCCAUGUGCCAUGGGUUCCAAUUACAAUACUAGUCCCCUCUAGCCCCAAUUGCAGGUUGGUGAACUAGCAAGCACAGCAUGGCUCGCAUAGCCCAAAUGGUGGACUGAAAAAGCCUAUGCAACUUGACACCUCUUUGUUAUGCAGUACUGUUUCCUGUACUUCGACUUUAGUACUAAAUUGCUUACAUAACCAGCUCCUGCCAUCUGGAUGCAGCAUGAAGUGGCCAUGCCUGCCCCAUAGUUAUGCAGAGUUGUGUGGAUCAAAAGUGACUUCUAGGACAGACAUGGCAGAAAAACACCACUCAUGGUUUGUUAAAAUUAAUCCAACAAUUUAAAUUAAUGAUGAAAAAUGCACUGCAGGUUAGCACUCUAGCUGCACACUGGCUAAAGACACAAUUCAAUUUUCAGAGAAUGGGCAUUUAUAAAUCCCAUUCAGGGCCAAACCAGAUGUAAUGUUAUUCACUUUAACUCCACUGUGCUUGCUUUAAAAAAAAUAAAUCACUCACACGGCUAUUUUCCUCCUAUUUCUGGGAGGAAGGUUGGGAUAUAAAUCGUACAAAUAAAUAAAUAGCCCAAGCUGGAUAAGAAUGGUUGCAUGGUGGAGGGGGCAAUGGAA
Long non-coding RNA from Rhineura floridana, 1939 nucleotides. RefSeq lists it as uncharacterized. NCBI's taxonomy places the organism in Eukaryota, Metazoa, Chordata, Lepidosauria, Squamata, Rhineuridae. The record is from RefSeq and is a predicted model, not a curated record. The transcript has 6 exons.